UGUAAUAGGGCUUUCAUGGGUGGUAGCUCACCCCUCUUUUUGAGAAAGGGGGUGAUGCGAUGACAGUAUUCGAAACAUUGAUCCUGAUGAUCACGUUCGCAACCUUAGUUGUAGCUAUACUGUCAGAACAAAAAAAGUAACCACCCGAUGAAUGCCUAGCCGCAUUUUGGUUGGUUACUUUUCUGACCUAAAUAUGUGAGCUGCCCCCUUGAAGGGCUUUUGCGCACGAGACCGUUCAUGUUAGAGCAUGGACG
RNAcentral lists this small RNA (254 nucleotides) under Virgibacillus phasianinus. Its description in RNAcentral is "Virgibacillus sp. LM2416 BsrG". It matches the Rfam family "BsrG". Rfam says of the family: bsrE, bsrG and bsrH pair through intermolecular interactions with antisense sRNAs. SR4 interaction with the 3'UTR of bsrG RNA promotes bsrG degradation and inhibits its translation. The record is from Rfam by way of RNAcentral. Lineage: Bacteria; Bacillati; Bacillota; Bacilli; Caryophanales; Bacillaceae.